RNAcentral lists this transfer RNA (85 nucleotides) under Aminomonas paucivorans DSM 12260. It matches the Rfam family "tRNA". From Rfam's summary of the family: Transfer RNA (tRNA) molecules are approximately 80 nucleotides in length. Their secondary structure includes four short double-helical elements and three loops (D, anti-codon, and T loops). The record is from Rfam by way of RNAcentral. Lineage: Bacteria; Thermotogati; Synergistota; Synergistia; Synergistales; Synergistaceae.
GGAGGGCUGGCCGAGCGGUCGAAGGCGGCUGACUUGAAAUCAGUUGUGGGUCACCCCACCGCGGGUUCGAAUCCUGCGCCCUCCG